GGAUUUCCCUUUAACUAGUUCUGCACCCAAAACUUUAGUGAAUGAGAGUGCCACAGAGAUUGAAGCUACAGCUAGACCUCUUAUGACUGAUGCACGCACUGCAUUGGCCACCUCUGCGGAAUUUGCUUCUUCUAUUGCGGAAUCUAAAUCAUCUAGUUUACCCAGUAUAACUACUGAUACUGAUAUUGCUCCCUUUACAUCACCACCACCUUUGAGUCCUGAGUUGGCUAGAAAACUUUCUGGUUUCAGAAGCAUAUCAAACAGCUCUAAGCAUGGUCCCUCUGUCAAUGACCAUUUUGGGGAUCCUAAAGCUGUUGAAUAUUCAGUUGACAGGCAAAUGGAUGCCAUUCAUCCAAACUUGACUGGCCUUACUCUGUCAGAUGGUGACCCAAUGAAAAAUGAAGAUGAAGUGUCCGGUGAUGAUGGUUCUUCGGGUAUUAGUAGUACAAUUAAAUUCAAGCACCCUACUCAUUUGGUGACUCCUUCAGAG
This 490-nucleotide unclassified non-coding RNA is filed under the name Hevea brasiliensis (rubber tree). The record is from RNAcentral. Lineage: Eukaryota; Viridiplantae; Streptophyta; Magnoliopsida; Malpighiales; Euphorbiaceae.